This 72-nucleotide transfer RNA is filed under the name Camelus bactrianus (Bactrian camel). It matches the Rfam family "tRNA". From Rfam's summary of the family: Transfer RNA (tRNA) molecules are approximately 80 nucleotides in length. Their secondary structure includes four short double-helical elements and three loops (D, anti-codon, and T loops). Further hydrogen bonds mediate the characteristic L-shaped molecular structure. tRNAs have two regions of fundamental functional importance: the anti-codon, which is responsible for specific mRNA codon recognition, and the 3' end, to which the tRNAs corresponding amino acid is attached (by aminoacyl-tRNA synthetases). tRNAs cope with the degeneracy of the genetic code in two manners: having more than one tRNA (with a specific anti-codon) for a particular amino acid; and 'wobble' base-pairing, i.e. permitting non-standard base-pairing at the 3rd anti-codon position. RNAcentral also lists the same sequence under 2 other names. The record is from Rfam by way of RNAcentral. Lineage: Eukaryota; Metazoa; Chordata; Mammalia; Artiodactyla; Camelidae.
GAGGGUAUGACUCAGUGGUAGAGCACAUGCUUAGCAUGCACGAGGUCCUGGGUUCAAUCCCCAGUACCUCCA